UUGUACCUGGUGUGAUUAUAAAGCAAUGAGACUGAUUGUCAUAUGUCGUUUGUGGGAUCCGUCUCAGUUACUUUAUAGCCAUACCUGGUAUCUUA
Cebus imitator (Panamanian white-faced capuchin) is the source of this 95-nucleotide microRNA precursor. Ensembl annotates it as microRNA 340. NCBI's taxonomy places the organism in Eukaryota, Metazoa, Chordata, Mammalia, Primates, Cebidae. The record is from Ensembl.